RNAcentral lists this ribosomal RNA (253 nucleotides) under uncultured bacterium. RNAcentral describes it as "partial 16S ribosomal RNA". It matches the Rfam family "Bacterial small subunit ribosomal RNA", at positions 524 to 776 of the family's 1533-position model. The record is from RNAcentral.
UACGUAGGGGGCAAGCGUUGUCCGGAAUCAUUGGGCGUAAAGAGCGCGUAGGCGGCCCUGUAAGUCCGCUGUGAAAGUCAAGGGCUCAACCCUUGAAUGCCGGUGGAUACUGCAGGGCUAGAGUCCGGAAGAGGCGAGUGGAAUUCCUGGUGUAGCGGUGAAAUGCGCAGAUAUCAGGAGGAACACCGAUGGCGAAGGCAGCUCGCUGGGACGGCACUGACGCUGAGACGCGAAAGCGUGGGGAGCAAACAGG